GCUACGGGAGGCAGCAGUGGGGGAUAUUGCACAAUGGGGGAAACCCUGAUGCAGCGACGCCGCGUGUGGGAAGACGGUCCUCUGGAUUGUAAACCACUGUCCCCAGGGACGAAGAUGACGGUACCUGGGGAGGAAGCUCCGGCUAACUACGUGCCAGCAGCCGCGGUCAUACGUAGGGAGCGAGCGUUGUCCGGAAUUACUGGGUGAAACGGGAGCGUAGGCGGGGAUGCAAGUUGGGUGUCAAAACUACCGGCUCAACGGGGAGUCGCCCUCAAAACUGCAGCGCUUGAGUGAAGUAGAGGCAGGCGGAAUUCCUAGUGUAGCGGUGAAAUGCGUAGAUAUUAGGAGGAACACCAGUGGCGAAGGCGGUCUGCUGGGCUUUUACUGACGCUGAGGCUCGAAAGUGUGGGGAGCAAACAGGAUUAGAUACCCGAGUAGUC
Molecule: ribosomal RNA, 440 nt
Filed under: uncultured bacterium
Lineage: Bacteria
Description: partial 16S ribosomal RNA
Rfam family: Bacterial small subunit ribosomal RNA
Source: RNAcentral